CAGUAGCCGCGGGAAUACGGAGGGAGCUAGCGUUGUUCGGAAUUACUGGGCGUAAAGCGCACGUAGGCGGCUUUGUAAGUUAGAGGUGAAAGCCUGGAGCUCAACUCCAGAAUUGCCUUUAAGACUGCAUCGCUUGAAUCCGGGAGAGGUGAGUGGAAUUCCGAGUGUAGAGGUGAAAUUCGUAGAUAUUCGGAAGAACACCAGUGGCGAAGGCGGCUCACUGGACCGGCAUUGACGCUGAGGUGCGAAAGCGUGGGGAGCAAACAGGAUUAGAUACCCCCGUAGUCCCUGUCUCUUAUAC
RNAcentral lists this ribosomal RNA (301 nucleotides) under uncultured bacterium. RNAcentral describes it as "partial 16S ribosomal RNA". It matches the Rfam family "Bacterial small subunit ribosomal RNA", at positions 509 to 807 of the family's 1533-position model. The record is from RNAcentral.